AGAGUUUGAUCCUGGCUCAGGACGAACGCUGGCGGCACGCUUAACACAUGCAAGUCGAACGAGAGAAGAGGAGCUUGCUUUUCUGAUCUAGUGGCGGACGGGUGAGUAACACGUGAGCAAUCUGCCUUUCAGAGGGGGAUACCGAUUGGAAACGAUCGUUAAUACCGCAUAACAUAAUUGAACCGCAUGAUUUGAUUAUCAAAGAUUUAUCGCUGAAAGAUGAGCUCGCGUCUGAUUAGCUAGUUGGUAAGGUAACGGCUUACCAAGGCGACGAUCAGUAGCCGGACUGAGAGGUUGAUCGGCCACAUUGGGACUGAGACACGGCCCAGACUCCUACGGGAGGCAGCAGUGGGGAAUAUUGCACAAUGGAGGAAACUCUGAUGCAGCGAUGCCGCGUGAGGGAAGAAGGUUUUAGGAUUGUAAACCUCUGUCUUCAGGGACGAAAAAAGACGGUACCUGAGGAGGAAGCUCCGGCUAACUACGUGCCAGCAGCCGCGGUAAUACGUAGGGAGCGAGCGUUGUCCGGAAUUACUGGGUGUAAAGGGAGCGUAGGCGGGAUCGCAAGUCAGAUGUGAAAACUAUGGGCUUAACCCAUAAACUGCAUUUGAAACUGUGGUUCUUGAGUGAAGUAGAGGUAAGCGGAAUUCCUAGUGUAGCGGUGAAAUGCGUAGAUAUUAGGAGGAACAUCAGUGGCGAAGGCGGCUUACUGGGCUUUAACUGACGCUGAGGCUCGAAAGCGUGGGGAGCAAACAGGAUUAGAUACUCUGGUAGUCCACGCCGUAAACGAUGAUUACUAGGUGUGGGGGGACUGACCCCUUCCGUGCCGCAGCAAACGCAAUAAGUAAUCCACCUGGGGAGUACGACCGCAAGGUUGAAACUCAAAGGAAUUGACGGGGGCCCGCACAAGCAGUGGAGUAUGUGGAUUAAUUCGAAGCAACGCGAAGAACCUUACCAGGUCUUGACAUCGUAUGCAUAGCUCAGAGAUGAGUGAAAUCUCUUCGGAGACAUAUAGACAGGUGGUGCAUGGUUGUCGUCAGCUCGUGUCGUGAGAUGUUGGGUUAAGUCCCGCAACGAGCGCAACCCUUACUGUUAGUUGCUACGCAAGAGCACUCUAGCAGGACUGCCGUUGACAAAACGGAGGAAGGUGGGGAUGACGUCAAAUCAUCAUGCCCCUUAUGACCUGGGCCUCACACGUACUACAAUGGCUGUCAACAGAGGGAAGCAAAGCCGCGAGGUGGAGCGAACCCCUAAAAGCAGUCUUAGUUCGGAUUGUAGGCUGCAACCCGCCUACAUGAAGUCGGAAUUGCUAGUAAUCGCAGAUCAGCAUGCUGCGGUGAAUACGUUCCCGGGCCUUGUACACACCGCCCGUCACGCCAUGGGAGUCGGUAACACCCGAAGCCUGUAGUCUAACCGCAAGGAGGACGCAGUCGAAGGUGGGAUUGAUGACUGGGGUGAAGUCGUAACAAGGUA
Molecule: ribosomal RNA, 1470 nt
Filed under: metagenome
Description: bacterial SSU rRNA
Rfam family: Bacterial small subunit ribosomal RNA
Source: RNAcentral